RNAcentral lists this unclassified non-coding RNA (794 nucleotides) under Pectinophora gossypiella (pink bollworm). RNAcentral describes it as "serine-arginine protein 55". Lineage: Eukaryota; Metazoa; Arthropoda; Insecta; Lepidoptera; Gelechiidae. The record is from RNAcentral.
AGCUUCAUUUCCGGCGAGAUCACUCACUGCGCGCGCCCCCACCUCGCCUCGCCGCGCCACUCAUAUUCUAGAAGGAGAGGUCGAAAAACCACAUGUGAAGUGUAUAAUCGUGCUUAUUCUGAAUUACUUGUGCUUAAAUCGAGGGAACUGAUUUAGUUGUUUGUUUUGUAAUAUUAAAGAAAUGGUGGGCUCGCGGGUUUAUGUUGGUGGUCUGCCGUUCGGCGUUCGAGAUCGGGAUCUCGAAAAAUUCUUCAAAGGCUUCGGCAGGAUAAGAGAUAUUUUGAUCAAGAAUGGAUACGGAUUUGUUGAAUUUGAAGAUCAUCGAGAUGCAGAUGAUGCUGUCUAUGAAUUGAAUGGCAAAGAAUUGCUAGGAGAAAGGGUGGUGGUGGAGCCGGCCCGAGGAAUCGACCGCAGCGCAGACCGCUACCGUCGCGACCGCUACUACGAGCGCGACCGCGGCCGGUCGCGAUACGAGGACUACAAUUAUAGAUACGGCCCGCCGACGCGUACGGAGUAUCGACUUAUCGUCGAAAAUCUGUCUAGCCGCAUAAGCUGGCAGAAGGUGGCGAUUCGUGCCCAGAGCCCUCGAUGUGUGUGAGAUGUGGUCUGACCCGAUGUUAGGAGGGUUUCGAUCCCGGUGCAGCCUGGUGAUGUGGUGUUGACGUCAUCCCCCCGCCCCGCCCCUCGCAGCUGGACGCCUCUUGGUGGCGCCUCGCCAAGGAUCUUAAAGACUACAUGCGCCAGGCUGGAGAAGUUACGUAUGCUGACGCACAUAAGCAGCACAGGAACGAAGG